GCCUGAAGGUCUAUGCCCCAGGAGCUGGCAGGCAGGAGGUACUCAAGUACUCAAGGGGGUCUAAAGAGAAAGAGCCAGUCUCAGCCCAGGAACACACAGCUGAGUCAGGGAAGGGACCACGUGCAUACUGGCUUUCCUCCACACUGACAGUUCGGCUGGGGCGGGACAACCAUGACAUGGAUUGCUGAGAGGGGCUUCGUGAGUGUGGGGAGAGGGCCUUAGAAUUGUUUAGUUGGGCUCUUAAGAUUGCAAGAACAGAAAUCCAGGGAGAGAGAUGAGACAUUCACUGUGGAGAUAAGUGAAUGGAAACCAAGCCUUGAGAAAAACGGAGCAGCUGUAAGAAGGCUGGGCUAGGAGAUGUCACACUGGCAACUUCCAUCUCCUACAUCCAGUUGUAGGUCACCUGAACACCCUUGGAUCAACUGGGCAUAAGAGGAAGCCUGUGGUAUAAAAUACCAUGGCCUACAUCUUUCACUGAGCCAACUGCUGGGACAAGCCAGUCCACAGGAAGGAGAGUCUAGAUCCAUCCCUGUCACUACAAAUGACCUCUUUUGCACUCUUCAGCCAUUGGACAGCCUUUUGAACAAAGAGGAUGGUCUGGGCCCACCGAGGAGGAGCUAGCUGGCUCCCUGAGGAAUAGGCAUCUGGUUGGGAAAAAGAGACAUGCUGAGCCAGAUCCAACCUGGGCAAUUCCACAAAUGGAGGCACUUGAAAAG
Long non-coding RNA from Bos taurus (domestic cattle), 716 nucleotides. The record is from Ensembl. NCBI's taxonomy places the organism in Eukaryota, Metazoa, Chordata, Mammalia, Artiodactyla, Bovidae.